Molecule: small RNA, 166 nt
Filed under: Caenorhabditis remanei
Lineage: Eukaryota; Metazoa; Nematoda; Chromadorea; Rhabditida; Rhabditidae
Description: Nematode sRNA ceN72-3_ceN74-2
Rfam family: Nematode sRNA ceN72-3_ceN74-2
Source: Rfam by way of RNAcentral
CGCAUCGGUCCGGAGUUGAUGGGUUAUCCUUGAUAAACUUUGCCUUCGGGCAACACCCCGGUUUCCUUGUGAAACCAAAACCGUCCAUUCGGACAAAACUCUCAACCAUCUCGCGUUCUCAUUAAGAAUGCAAAACCCUUCCCAUCGACACCAACUUGACCGAUCU